AAGCUAUUGAAAAAAAAAAGUUUCGAAUUUGUUAAAGACCUUAGCAAAUUUGCUACUCUUUGAUGACAGUGGUUGUGCGUGUCUGAGCCUC
Small nucleolar RNA from Vicia villosa (hairy vetch), 91 nucleotides. RefSeq annotates it as small nucleolar RNA snoR126. The record is from RefSeq and is a predicted model, not a curated record. The transcript has a single exon. NCBI's taxonomy places the organism in Eukaryota, Viridiplantae, Streptophyta, Magnoliopsida, Fabales, Fabaceae.